RNAcentral lists this ribosomal RNA (298 nucleotides) under Escherichia coli. RNAcentral's name for it is "partial 16S ribosomal RNA". It matches the Rfam family "Bacterial small subunit ribosomal RNA", at positions 1 to 293 of the family's 1533-position model. Lineage: Bacteria; Pseudomonadati; Pseudomonadota; Gammaproteobacteria; Enterobacterales; Enterobacteriaceae. The record is from RNAcentral.
UUAAAUUGAAGAGUUUGAUCAUGGCUCAGAUUGAACGCUGGCGGCAGGCCUAACACAUGCAAGUCGAACGGUAACAGGAAGAAGCUUGCUUCUUUGCUGACGAGUGGCGGACGGGUGAGUAAUGUCUGGGAAACUGCCUGAUGGAGGGGGAUAACUACUGGAAACGGUAGCUAAUACCGCAUAACGUCGCAAGACCAAAGAGGGGGACCUUCGGGCCUCUUGCCAUCGGAUGUGCCCAGAUGGGAUUAGCUUGUUGGUGGGGUAACGGCUCACCAAGGCGACGAUCCCUAGCUGGUCU